Ipomoea nil (Japanese morning glory) is the source of this 73-nucleotide transfer RNA. It matches the Rfam family "tRNA". Rfam says of the family: Transfer RNA (tRNA) molecules are approximately 80 nucleotides in length. Lineage: Eukaryota; Viridiplantae; Streptophyta; Magnoliopsida; Solanales; Convolvulaceae. The record is from Rfam.
GACUCCAUGACCCAAUGGAUAAGGUGUUGGUCUACGAAACUAGAGAUCUUCGGUUUGAUCCCCAGUGGAGUCA